GAAGAUGCGAGCGUUAUCCGGAUUUAUUGGGUUUAAAGGGUGCGUAGGCGGCCUUUUAAGUCAGCGGUGAAAGUCUGUGGCUCAACCAUAGAAUUGCCGUUGAAACUGGGAGGCUUGAGUAUGUUUGAGGCAGGCGGAAUGCGUGGUGUAGCGGUGAAAUGCUUAGAUAUCACGCAGAACCCCGAUUGCGAAGGCAGCCUGCCAAGCCAUGACUGACGCUGAUGCACGAAAGCGUGGGGAUCAAA
RNAcentral lists this ribosomal RNA (245 nucleotides) under uncultured bacterium. Its description in RNAcentral is "partial 16S ribosomal RNA". It matches the Rfam family "Bacterial small subunit ribosomal RNA", at positions 528 to 772 of the family's 1533-position model. The record is from RNAcentral.